Daucus carota subsp. sativus is the source of this 1714-nucleotide long non-coding RNA. RefSeq lists it as uncharacterized. The record is from RefSeq and is a predicted model, not a curated record. Lineage: Eukaryota; Viridiplantae; Streptophyta; Magnoliopsida; Apiales; Apiaceae. The transcript has 7 exons.
AGAGUUCCUUUGGAGUGAUUUUAGUUUUUUCAUCACUGAUCUAUUUAACGCAUAAAUCUAAUAGCUCCAUCGUUCCAUGGACGAGAAAGGCUGUAAGCGCAUAUCUUUGGGACCUGAUUCUCCUUCGACGCGUGAUGGUGAACUUACCUUCAUGGUAAACUUCAGAUUCCUCCUAUAAGGUGUUUGUAUGUAAAUUAUUUCGUUAGAUCCUCUUUCUGGCAAAUCACAGGAUUCAGGUCAUAUUAUAUUCACUGAAGAUAUUGGUCCGUGUUUCAUAGGUAUAUGACGAGUUUUGUCAAUUUUAAUGUUAGUGCAUUCUCAGCAUUUAAUGGUUUUCAUGGGAGAAUAAGUUUUAACACCCAGGUUUAUUUCGGGUGCCACACAAACAUCAAGUGAGAUUGAUAAUGCUUAAUUUCUCUGUAUCAGUGACCUUUCAAGUCGACUUUGUUGUAAAGAAACUCUAUUUUGUUGCUGAUGGGUGUGAAGCAAAUAGUUGGCCAAUAUCUUCCUCAACAGAAACACCAUUUAUAUAUAUAUUCUUAAAUUGGAUAUGUAAGUUUAAUACAUUAACUGUGUGUAUUAGAUUCUGAGAUAAGUCAUACAUAUUUAUAUUAACAGUCUUCGUCUUAAACUUCUCAUUGCUUUCUUCUUCCAACCCUUAAUAAGUCAUCUGUAAUUUGUUCUCCUUGAUAGAACACUGAUGUUCAUCAAAGUGCCCCUUAAUCACGUAAGCAGACCUCUGUCGAUGAACAUAUAAAAGAAUGGCUAGAAGCCGGGAAGCUGCAAAGGAUAGUUCUUGUGCUAAUGAGCAAAGCUACUAAUGAGGUUUCGGAGAGACGGAACUUCAGUAUCCAGACUGAUCAAGAGGUUUUCCAAAAAGGGGUCUGAGACUACUCAGAUAUUGACACUAGACAAUGGCUAAUUAUUGAUUUGUUGGAGUUCUAUUUCCACACCAAGCAGUUGAGAAUUUGAGAUGCAUCCUUAUUCAAUAGAUGAGAUAAGGGGAUUGCUGUGUUGAGAUUUACCUACUUUAGAGCCUCUGUGUCUGAAAAGCCAUCAUCACAUGGAAACCUGUGAGCUUCUGGUAUCAUGUUUGAUUUGUUUACCUCUACUUUAACAACUUUGCGUUUUAAAAAUAUCCGUUUGCCAAAAUCGUUAAGUGAUUUAACCCUGCUUGCUUCAAGGAGUCCGUAUCAUGGACUACAAGAUUCCUAAAAGACCUUGGGAUUUCCCAACUUUAUUGAGUCUAGAACUUGGUGAGAAUAAAUAUCCCAAUACCCAGAGUUCCUGUAUCGGAUAUAUUGUGCAUUCAAAGGCAGACUACCAAUCAAACUCAAGACCAUUUGCUCAGCGUCAAAUUUUGACAAACGUUAGUACUACGUCUCGGUUGAUGCCAUCUCCCGUCGAAAAGUCCGUAUGUGGAUUGGCAUGUGUGCUAGCUCUGAUUAUAUGUUUUGCAAUUAUUAUGCAUAAGUUCACGCGACAUCUGCCUGAGGAGCCUGGCUCACCUGGUGGCAGCUCACAUGCAGCACGUCUUCAGACAUUCCUCUCUUCUGUUGAUGAGAAGGAAGUGGAUUUAAAAUCUAAAUCCAAGCGAAGAAAUAUGGAAUUGGCUUCUAAUGUAGGGGUAGAUGAAGUUACAUCAGUGAACAGAUCAAAUAGAAGUUGUAAAUUCAUGUCUACAACCAAGAGUAUAAAUACUCAAGGUGCCAGU